This 253-nucleotide ribosomal RNA is filed under the name uncultured bacterium. RNAcentral's name for it is "partial 16S ribosomal RNA". It matches the Rfam family "Bacterial small subunit ribosomal RNA", at positions 524 to 776 of the family's 1533-position model. The record is from RNAcentral.
UACGUAGGGUGCGAGCGUUAAUCGGAAUUACUGGGCGUAAAGCGUGCGCAGGCGGUUUUGUAAGUCUGUCGUGAAAUCCCCGGGCUUAACCUGGGAAUUGCGAUGGAGACUGCAAGGCUAGAAUCUGGCAGAGGGGGGUAGAAUUCCACGUGUAGCAGUGAAAUGCGUAGAGAUGUGGAGGAACACCGAUGGCGAAGGCAGCCCCCUGGGCUAACACUGACGCUCAUGCACGAAAGCGUGGGGAGCAAACAGG